AGGUUUAACCGCGUCGGACUGGACUUACUGCAUGGGUUCCUCUGCACUCUUUGCUUAAUAUACUUGGAAAAUUACCCACUUUGUUUGAGAAGGCAGUAAUGACUGCCAACGGAUUCCGCGGGCAGAGUUGCAGCAUACGGCAUCCAUCAGCGACAUAAUCAAGGAGGAACGUCCACCCGUGCUGUAAUUUCAUUCGUGGCGCAAUCGUAUCAUUUAUUAUUUAGUUAUUCUCAGUCAUAAUAAAGUAACUUUGGUUUUCUUUUCGUCAAA
Molecule: long non-coding RNA, 270 nt
Organism: Daphnia pulex (common water flea)
Lineage: Eukaryota; Metazoa; Arthropoda; Branchiopoda; Diplostraca; Daphniidae
Exons: 2
Source: RefSeq, a predicted model, not a curated record